Molecule: unclassified non-coding RNA, 345 nt
Filed under: soil metagenome
Description: partial contains 5.8S ribosomal RNA, internal transcribed spacer 2, and large subunit ribosomal RNA
Rfam family: 5.8S ribosomal RNA (bases 1-120)
Source: RNAcentral
GAUGAAGAACGUAGCGAAAUGCGAUACUUGGUGUGAAUUGCAAAAUCCCGUGAACCAUCGAGUCUUUGAACGCACAUUGCGCCCCCUGGUAUUCCGGGGGGCAUGCCUGUCCGAGCGUCAUUGCUGCCCUCAAGCACGGCUUGUGUGUUGGGCCUCCGUCCUCCUCCCGGGGGACGGGCCCGAAAGGCAGCGGCGGCACCGCGUCCGGUCCUCGAGCGUAUGGGGCUUCGUCACCCGCUCUUGUAGGCCCGGCCGGCGCUUGCCGACACAUCAAUCUUUUUUCCAGGUUGACCUCGGAUCAGGUAGGGAUACCCGCUGAACUUAAGCAUAUCAAUAAGCGGAGGA